GACGAACCGUGCGAACGUUGUUCGGAAUCAUUGGGCUUAAAGGGUGCGUAGGCUGGUCAGUCAGUCUGUGGUGAAAUCCUCCGGCUCAACCGGAGAAUUGCCGUGGAUACUGCUGAUCUCGAGGGGUGUAGGGGUAUGGGGAACUCAGGGUGGAGCGGUGAAAUGCGUAGAUAUCCUGAGGAACGCCGGUGGCGAAAGCGCCGUACUGGACACCUUCUGACGCUGAGGCACGAAAGCCAGGGGAGCAAACGGG
RNAcentral lists this ribosomal RNA (253 nucleotides) under uncultured bacterium. RNAcentral describes it as "partial 16S ribosomal RNA". It matches the Rfam family "Bacterial small subunit ribosomal RNA", at positions 524 to 776 of the family's 1533-position model. The record is from RNAcentral.